UAGAAUUUAGGAUUUGAUUAGGAUUUAGUUAAAAUUUAAGCUUGAACUAGGAUUUAGGAUUUGAUUAGGAUUUGGUUAGAAUUUAAGGUUGAACUAAGAUUUAGGAUUUGAUUAGGAUUUGGUUAGAAUUUAAGGUUGAACUAGGAUUUAGGAUUUGAUUUAGGAUUUAGGAUUUUUUUAGGAUUCGAUAUUUAAAGUUUACUUAGGAUUUAGGAUUUGGCUUAGGAUUUGAUUGAAGUGUAUUAGGAUUUUAACUAGAUUUAAAUUAGGACUUGGUUGAAAUUUAUUUAAGAUAUAUUUGUGAUUAUUAUAAUAUUUCUUUAAAAUUUCUUAAAGAUUCUUUUAAGAUUUAUUGUGGAUUUUUUUUUAACUCCUUUAAGAUUUCUUAUUGUUUCUUUUAUAAUUUAUUUAAGAUUUCUUUUGAAUUUUAUUAA
This 434-nucleotide long non-coding RNA is filed under the name Physcomitrium patens. Its description in RNAcentral is "long non-coding RNA (PPAT_LNC006838)". Lineage: Eukaryota; Viridiplantae; Streptophyta; Bryopsida; Funariales; Funariaceae. The record is from RNAcentral.